RNAcentral lists this ribosomal RNA (468 nucleotides) under uncultured bacterium. RNAcentral's name for it is "partial 16S ribosomal RNA". It matches the Rfam family "Bacterial small subunit ribosomal RNA", at positions 28 to 507 of the family's 1533-position model. The record is from RNAcentral.
GACGAACGCUGGCGGCGUGCUUAACACAUGCAAGUCGAACGGACAGGCCCUGCUUUUGUGGGGUGCUCGAGUGGCGAACGGGUGAGUAACACGUGAGUAACCUGCCCUUGACUUUGGGAUAACUUCAGGAAACUGGGGCUAAUACCGGAUAGGAGCUCCUGCUGCAUGGUGGGGGUUGGAAAGUUUCGGCGGUUGGGGAUGGACUCGCGGCUUAUCAGCUUGUUGGUGGGGUAGUGGCUUACCAAGGCUUUGACGGGUAGCCGGCCUGAGAGGGUGACCGGGCACAUGGGGACUGAGAUACGGCCCAGACUGCUACGGGAGGCAGCAGUGGGGAAUAUUGCACAAUAGGCGGAAGCCUGAUGCAGCAGCGCCGCGUGCGGGAUGACGGCCUUCGGGUUGUAAACCGCUUUCGCCUGUGACGAAGCGUGAGUGACGGUAAUGGGUAAAGAAGCACCGGCUAACUACGUG